CGGGGCUCGGCCCGGCCCGGCCCAGCCCAGCCCAGCCCAGGGAAAAGUUGGUUGCCAGCUGCCGCCCAGCCCUCCCUGCGGCUGGAGCACGCGGCGCUCGGCCGCGUUUCCACGGAGGAAGAGCCGGUGCCAAAGUCCCCCGGCGAGGUUCGAGCCGGCGGGUCGCCUGGAGGGAGGCGAAGUAUGGAAAUCACCGGUCAGACAACAUCCCUUGGGGCCAGCCGCUUCUGCCAACGAGUUCGUGUGCGAGCAUGGCAUUUCUCCGGUGCUUUUCAUUACAGAGGACGGGGCUGCCACCACCAGAGUGCGGAAUAACCUCGCCCCCAGAGACACCUCUCAUCACCUUCCCCUCCAGAGCUAGUUUUCUCACCUCCCCUUACCCGUUUUUUCCACGCUGUGGGAGCUUCAGGGGGAUCUCUUUUGUUCGCUACGUUUACGCAAGUAAAUCACUUUUAUAAUCGCACCCCUCCAUCCCCUCUCUCUGAACUUCCAUUAAUGUAUCACUCCUCCCUCCCACCGCCUCCAAGAGACGGGGAGAUAGAUGGAUAUAGUUAGGAAGUAAUUAGAGGAAUAACUUGUGAUCAAGAAGCCAGCUCCUCAGCCCGUAUAAAUCAGUAUAGCGCCAUUGAUGUAGCCAUGCACAACACCCUGGCUGAGUGAAGAGAAAAGGAGGACUUGUGGCACCUUAGAGACUAACAAAUUUAUUGAGCAUAAGCUUUCGUGAGCUACAGCCCACUUCAUCGGAUGCAUCUUCUAGCCCAAGAUCAGAAAGGAGAUGAUGACCAUUUACUAUUUCUUUUAUGUUAGCACUGAGGAACACAGCAGGGAUUAGGACCCCCGGUGUGUCCACAUAUACACUCUGUGUAAACGAGUAAAAUAAAAACGAUAUCUGCCCUGGAAAGCUCACAGCCUAGGAUUUGACAAUAAAGGUGAACCAACGAAACCGGAACGACGUUCAAGGAAACAAUGGACCAGGGAACUGUUCCAUUAAGGUAAAUUCUCAUAGGCAGAUAGCCAAAGAAGGCAAAACUUCGAAAACAGCUUAAGAAAAUACAGGACCUCUGCCUCAUUCAGUGCACAAGAUAGACUGUCUUCCAGCAGUUCUCUGCUGCGUGUUCACCACCUACCUUCCAACUGCUUCAACAAAUUAGACGUGUCCAACAGAUAACAGCCUUCUUCACUAUACAAUCCUAAUUCGUUCCAAGAGCACAAAGAUUGUUCUCAUAUUCAAGGGAGAAGAAUGGCACACUGGAGAAUUGAAUUCUAUCCCUGCCUCUGCCACAGAGUUCAUAUGUGCUUCUAUAGAAAUUCUAAGUAUUCCAAAAAAAAAAUCAGGUCCUGGGCGUCUCAAAUUUGGCAUCCAAAAUUAGUGAACACUUCGACAACUUUGGUCUUAAAUCUCUGUGCUUCCAUUUCCGCAGCUGUAAAAUGGGGAUAACACCACCUAAUCUCAGAUAGGUGUUAUGAAGAUUGAUUGCUGUUUGUGAAGCACUCAGAUACUCUGAGAGCAUUAUGGAAAUGCCAAGGUAGAAAUCAAUUUUGUAUUCAGUGCUGGGUUUGGAUGGUGGAUGUUAAAUAAAGCCUAGGCCCACACACUGAAUGUGGAGGAUAAGAUGACAAAUCUACCCGUUCACUGACAGAGGCAGGGCUUAUUCUGUGUGUGUGUGGGGGGGGGAGGUGAAAUAGUAUGAGAUCAUAUAUAAUUAAAGAAUGUAUCAUAAUGCAGCUGCACAAGGGAACCAAUUUAAAUUUGUAUGGGAUACCUUGACUCUGACACUUCCUAACACUUGUGUCCUUGACUUUGCAACCUUAAUUUUAUUUUAACACUUUGUGGGAUGUGAUAAGAUAGAUAUUGACAAUGUUUUUAUGCUGUUUGGUGUGGGUAUAUAUAACACACGUUCAUAUAUACACAUUUAUAGGUGUGCCAUAUCUAUGUAACUUUAACUAUAAAAAGUAACUGUUGCCUGUUGUGCUUGGCAGACUCAUUAGUUAAUAAUAAGUCUGAGUGAAAAUACACUUAGAGAAAAAAACUUUUGAAUGUGAAGCCUGUUUAGCGAGUAAAAAAAAAAAAUCUCUUAAAUUAACUAUAGUUACAUCCUAUUUGUAAAUGGUAAAUCUUAGCACAUGUAUGUAUGUGCACACACAAAGGAUUAAAAGUUGAAUAGAGCUGAUAAAACUUGUUUUUCUCCACUUCAUUCCCUGCAGUAGAAUAUACCAUUGGAAUACUGAGUACAUGAUAGAAAUAUUGUGUUAAUGUAUUAUUGUC
This is a long non-coding RNA of Dermochelys coriacea (leatherback sea turtle), 2266 nucleotides long. RefSeq lists it as uncharacterized. The transcript is spliced from 3 exons. The record is from RefSeq and is a predicted model, not a curated record. NCBI's taxonomy places the organism in Eukaryota, Metazoa, Chordata, Testudines, Dermochelyidae.